UAGCCUGCUAGCUUAUAUAUACAUAUAAGAUGAGGAAGCUCCGAGUUCGAGCCAGCGGCAAUGGUGGCGCCGCGCUGCCCUUCCAUUCUAGUGAUGGUUGAGGCGUACCCGUAUGUAUACGGUCAGUAUACGGUAUACGAUGUAUAGUGUGAUCGAUACGGUGAUUUCUGUCACGUAUGUGUGUGAGAGUCUGAGUGCGAGCAGCUGCUGCAAUCAAUUAAAGUCUAGCAGGCUGACAGCGUACUCUGUCUAAGUUAUUGCUAUUUGUGAGACACUUGUCCAACUAUGGAUGAUGGACAUUUGGACCUGCAAUCUGCACCUUUUGAUACAGAGAAAAAGGUUCGAAUUUUAGUACACCACCUUUUGACGUAUACUAUGUAUCGUUUUAGUACCACGUUUGCUAUUUUCAGAUGUCUGAAUUCUUCCUCUCUCACUCGAUUUGGAUGGCUUGUGCUUUUGGUGGCUGGAUUGGUUACCUUUUGUGCCAGACUUCUUUUUGUGCCAGACUUCUGAGUGAAGCAAGAGGUGCUUCACAUGAAGAAGCAUGGGAAGGGAGUGCGUGUGGGAAAGUAUCUGCAGAGGGGCCGCCUUCUUUUCAUUCUUUUAAAGUUUCAGAAAAAAUGAUGAAACUUCAAUUAGCUCACAGACAGACACACAAACAUUUGGAUUCGAAUCCGAAACAUUGCUCCAAAAACAGAAAUUACAAACUUGCUGUCAAUAGCGAGAUAAUGGGCCAAUUUAAGCCCAACUUACAUCAGAC
This 760-nucleotide long non-coding RNA is filed under the name Triticum aestivum (bread wheat). Its description in RNAcentral is "long non-coding RNA (TAES_LNC006521)". Lineage: Eukaryota; Viridiplantae; Streptophyta; Magnoliopsida; Poales; Poaceae. The record is from RNAcentral.